GAGUUCUCCCUGAGACUUUAGGUCUCCUGAAGGAACGUUGAAGACGACGACGUUGAUAGGCCGGGUGUGUAAGCGCAGCGAUGCGUUGAGCUAACCGGUACUAAUGAACCGUGAGGCUUAACCUUACAACGCCGAAG
Molecule: ribosomal RNA, 137 nt
Filed under: Salmonella enterica
Lineage: Bacteria; Pseudomonadati; Pseudomonadota; Gammaproteobacteria; Enterobacterales; Enterobacteriaceae
Also listed under: 6 other names
Description: partial 23S ribosomal RNA
Rfam family: Bacterial large subunit ribosomal RNA
Source: RNAcentral